This 474-nucleotide ribosomal RNA is filed under the name uncultured organism. RNAcentral's name for it is "partial 16S ribosomal RNA". It matches the Rfam family "Bacterial small subunit ribosomal RNA", at positions 332 to 797 of the family's 1533-position model. The record is from RNAcentral.
UACACUCCUACGGGAGGCAGCAGUGGGGAAUAUUGCACAAUGGGCGCAAGCCUGAUGCAGCCAUGCCGCGUGUAUGAAGAAGGCCUUCGGGUUGUAAAGUACUUUCAGCGGGGAGGAAGGCAAUACGGUUAAUAACCGUGUUGAUUGACGUUACCCGCAGAAGAAGCACCGGCUAACUCCGUGCCAGCAGCCGCGGUAAUACGGAGGGUGCAAGCGUUAAUCGGAAUUACUGGGCGUAAAGCGCACGCAGGCGGUCUGUCAAGUCGGAUGUGAAAUCCCCGGGCUCAACCUGGGAACUGCAUUCGAAACUGGCAGGCUUGAGUCUUGUAGAGGGGGGUAGAAUUCCAGGUGUAGCGGUGAAAUGCGUAGAGAUCUGGAGGAAUACCGGUGGCGAAGGCGGCCCCCUGGACAAAGACUGACGCUCAGGUGCGAAAGCGUGGGGAGCAAACAGGAUUAGAAACCCCAGUAGUCCCA